UAGAUAACCUAUUAUUAAAAAUGUAAAUUUUUUUACUUAAUUAGUAUUAGUUAUGUUCUUGAAAAUUAAAAAAUUUGGCGGUAUUUUAGUCUUUUCAGAGGAACCUGUUCUAUAAUCGAUAGUCCACGAUUAGAUGCACUUUAUUUAUUAGUUUAUAUAUCGUCGUAGUUUAAAUAUUUUAAUAGAAUUAUAAAUAUUUAAAAUUUUUUAUUAAAAAAUAAAUCAGAUCAAGGUGUAGUUUAUAAUAAAGAAGAAAUGGGUUACAAUAAAUUUAUUUUAAAAUAAUUUUUGUUAAAAAAAUUUGAAUUUGGAUUUGAGAGUAAUUUUUUAGAUUUUUUUAAGAUGAUUAAAGCUCUAAAAUAUGUACAUAUCGCCCGUCGCUUUCAUUUUAAAAUGAAAUAA
This 402-nucleotide ribosomal RNA is filed under the name Acanthoscelides obtectus. RNAcentral's name for it is "partial small subunit ribosomal RNA". Lineage: Eukaryota; Metazoa; Arthropoda; Insecta; Coleoptera; Chrysomelidae. The record is from RNAcentral.